This 253-nucleotide ribosomal RNA is filed under the name uncultured bacterium. RNAcentral describes it as "partial 16S ribosomal RNA". It matches the Rfam family "Bacterial small subunit ribosomal RNA", at positions 524 to 776 of the family's 1533-position model. The record is from RNAcentral.
UACGUAGGCAGCGAGCGUUGUUCGGAGUUACUGGGCGUAAAGGGUGCGUAGGCGGUUUUCCAAGUUUGGUGUGAAAUCUCCCGGCUUAACUGGGAGGGUGCGCCGAAAACUAGGAGGCUUGAGUACCGGAGAGGUAAGCGGAAUUCCUGGUGUAGCGGUGAAAUGCGUAGAGAUCAGGAGGAACACCUGCGGUGUAGACAGCUUACUGGACGGUCACUGACGCUGAGGCACGAAAGCGUGGGUAGCAAACAGG